GAUGAACGCUGGCGGCGUGCCUAAUACAUGCAAGUCGAGCGAACAGAUGAGGAGCUUGCUCCUCUGACGUUAGCGGCGGACGGGUGAGUAACACGUGGAUAACCUACCUAUAAGACUGGGAUAACUUCGGGAAACCGGAGCUAAUACCGGAUAAUAUAUUGAACCGCAUGGUUCAAUAGUGAAAGACGGUUUUGCUGUCACUUAUAGAUGGAUCCGCGCCGCAUUAGCUAGUUGGUAAGGUAACGGCUUACCAAGGCAACGAUGCGUAGCCGACCUGAGAGGGUGAUCGGCCACACUGGAACUGAGACACGGUCCAGACUCCGACGGGAGGCAGCAGUAGGGAAUCUUCCGCAAUGGGCGAAAGCCUGACGGAGCAACGCCGCGUGAGUGAUGAAGGUCUUCGGAUCGUAAAGCUCUGUUAUUAGGGAAGAACAAAUGUGUAAGUAACUAUGCACGUCUUGACGGUACCUAAUCAGAAAGCCACGGCUAGCUACGUG
This 497-nucleotide ribosomal RNA is filed under the name uncultured bacterium. RNAcentral describes it as "partial 16S ribosomal RNA". It matches the Rfam family "Bacterial small subunit ribosomal RNA", at positions 28 to 507 of the family's 1533-position model. The record is from RNAcentral.